UACGUAGGGUGCGAGCGUUAAUCGGAAUUACUGGGCGUAAAGGGUGCGUAGGCGGUUUGCUAAGACAGGUGUGAAAUCCCCGGGCUUAACCUGGGAAUUGCGCUUGUUACUGGCAGGCUAGAGUGUGUCAGAGGGAGGUAGAAUUCCAUGUGUAGCAGUGAAAUGCGUAGAGAUGUGGAGGAAUACCGAUGGCGAAGGCAGCCUCCUGGGAUAACACUGACGCUGAGGCACGAAAGCGUGGGGAGCAAACAGG
RNAcentral lists this ribosomal RNA (253 nucleotides) under uncultured bacterium. RNAcentral describes it as "partial 16S ribosomal RNA". It matches the Rfam family "Bacterial small subunit ribosomal RNA", at positions 524 to 776 of the family's 1533-position model. The record is from RNAcentral.